UACGUAGGGACCGGGCGUUGUCCGGAUUCAUUGGGCGUAAAGAGCUCGUAGGCGGCUGCUCAAGUCGAAUGUGAAACCUCGAGGCUUAACCUCGAGCCUGCAUUCGAUACUGGGCGGCUAGAGUCUGGUAGGGGGAUCUGGAAUUCCUGGUGUAGCGGUGGAAUGCGCAGAUAUCAGGAAGAACACCAAUGGCGAAAGCAGCUCUCUGGGACGGUACUGACGCUGAGACGCGAAAGCGUGGGGAGCGAACAGG
RNAcentral lists this ribosomal RNA (253 nucleotides) under uncultured bacterium. Its description in RNAcentral is "partial 16S ribosomal RNA". It matches the Rfam family "Bacterial small subunit ribosomal RNA", at positions 524 to 776 of the family's 1533-position model. The record is from RNAcentral.